Molecule: unclassified non-coding RNA, 339 nt
Filed under: fungal sp.
Lineage: Eukaryota; Fungi
Description: partial internal transcribed spacer region
Rfam family: Eukaryotic small subunit ribosomal RNA (bases 1-46)
Source: RNAcentral
AAGUCGUAACAAGGUUUCCGUAGGUGAACCUGCGGAAGGAUCAUUAAUGAUACUUUGUUAUACCAAUACCAAACCAAAUGUGAACUGUAUGCUCCUACUGUGCUUAUUGGUAGAUCUCACGAUCUAUCAAUAUUGUAUGGUAGAGAAUACCCUUCUAGUAGUCAUCCCAAGCUUCGGUUUGGCUGAUGGCGAAGUAUUAACAAACUUUACUCUAUAACUGUUAACUGACUGAUCUUCAUAAACUUGCGAAUGGCGAAAGCUGUUUGUAGGCUUUACGAAAUUUACCGAACAACUCCUAGCAAUGGAUAUCUCGGGUCAUGUAACGAUGAAGAACGUAGC